GGCAGCAGAGCGAGUGGUGAGUGGUCCCGCUCCUCUUCCCCCCACCACCACCCGCCGAGAGCUAUGCCAGUUGGGGAGGACAAUGCUGCAGCGUGGGACGCAACACAGUGAGGGGCGUGGCCUGGAGGACGCAUUACCCUAGCGACCACCACCGUGGCGGCGCGGACUUGAUCUAAUCGUAGAGCGGGAAAGGGCUCACAAAAAGAACCCAUUCCAGAGGUCGGAGCAGCUAAUCUAUUGGAUCUUCCUCUUGGGGUCAAGCUGCCUGUUAUCCCAGGAAGCAACAAUGUAUUCUACACUACAAAUAUAAGUGAAAAGAAAAUCAUUGAAAAACAAGUAAAUAAAUUGAAUGAAACCAAGAAAGCCUAUGACAGUUAUGGAAACGCACAAUUCCAAGAAUGGCUGUUACAGGAAGGUACACACACAA
Molecule: long non-coding RNA, 427 nt
Organism: Neofelis nebulosa (Clouded leopard)
Lineage: Eukaryota; Metazoa; Chordata; Mammalia; Carnivora; Felidae
Exons: 3
Source: RefSeq, a predicted model, not a curated record